Molecule: ribosomal RNA, 508 nt
Filed under: uncultured bacterium
Lineage: Bacteria
Description: bacterial SSU rRNA
Rfam family: Bacterial small subunit ribosomal RNA
Source: RNAcentral
GAUGAACGCUAGCGAUAGGCCUAACACAUGCAAGUCGAGGGGCAUCACAUGAAGUAGCAAUACGGAUGGUGGCGACCGGCGCACGGGUGAGUAACACGUAUGCAACCUGCCUUCAACAAGGGGAUAACCCGUUGAAAGACGGACUAAUACCCUAUAACACAGGGGUCCCGCAUGGGAAUAUUUGUUAAAGGACAACCGGUUGAAGAUGGGCAUGCGUUCCAUUAGCUAGUUGGCGGGGUAACGGCCCACCAAGGCAACGAUGGAUAGGGGAACUGAGAGGUUUAUCCCCCACACUGGUACUGAGACACGGACCAGACUCCUACGGGAGGCAGCAGUGAGGAAUAUUGGUCAAUGGACGCAAGUCUGAACCAGCCACGUCGCGUGAAGGAAGACGGCCCUACGGGUUGUAAACUUCUUUUAUACGGGAAUAAAGUGCCCCACGCGUGGGGUUUUGCAUGUACCGUAUGAAUAAGGAUCGGCUAACUCCGUGCCACGAGCCGCGGUAAAU